UACGUAGGGGGCGAGCGUUGUCCGGAGUUACUGGGCGUAAAGCGCACGCAGGCGGUCUGCUAAGUUUGGAGUGACAGUUGGUGGCUUAACUGCCAAAGUGCUUCGAAAACUGACAGACUUAAGGGCUUCAGAGGGACACGGAAUUCCGGGUGGAGUGGUGAAAUGCGUAGAGAUCCGGAGGAACACCAAAGGCGAAGGCAGUGUCCUGGGGAGGACCUGACGCUCAGGUGCGAAAGCCAGGGGAGCGAACGGG
This 253-nucleotide ribosomal RNA is filed under the name uncultured bacterium. Its description in RNAcentral is "partial 16S ribosomal RNA". It matches the Rfam family "Bacterial small subunit ribosomal RNA", at positions 524 to 776 of the family's 1533-position model. The record is from RNAcentral.